AUUGAACGCUGGCGGCAGGCCUAACACAUGCAAGUCGAGCGGAUGAAGCGAGUUUGCUCCUGGAUUCAGCGGCGGACGGGUGAGUCAUGCCUAGGAAUCUGCCUUGUAGUGGGGGAUAACGUCCGGAUACGGGCGCUAAUACCGCAUACGUCCUGUGGUCGCAAGUGGGUGAUCUUCGGACCUCUCGCUAUCAGAUGAGCCUAGGUCGGAUUAGAUAGUUGGUGGGGUAAAGGCCUACCAAGGCGACGAUCCGUAACUGGUCUGAGAGGAUGAUCAGUCAGACUGGAACAGAGGCAGGGUCCAGACACCUACGGUGGGAAGCAGUGGAGAAUAUUGGACGAUGGGGGAGUGCCUGAUACAGCCAUGCCGCGGGUGUGAAGAAGGUCUUCGGAUGGGAAAGCACUUUAAGUUGUGGGGAAGGGCAGUAAGUUAAUACCUUGCGGUUUUGACGUUACCAACAGAAUAAGCACCGGCUAACUUCGUG
RNAcentral lists this ribosomal RNA (484 nucleotides) under uncultured bacterium. RNAcentral describes it as "partial 16S ribosomal RNA". It matches the Rfam family "Bacterial small subunit ribosomal RNA", at positions 30 to 507 of the family's 1533-position model. The record is from RNAcentral.